RNAcentral lists this transfer RNA (76 nucleotides) under Acidobacteriota bacterium. RNAcentral describes it as "Acidobacteria bacterium tRNA-Lys". It matches the Rfam family "tRNA". From Rfam's summary of the family: Transfer RNA (tRNA) molecules are approximately 80 nucleotides in length. RNAcentral also lists the same sequence under 1 other name. Lineage: Bacteria; Pseudomonadati; Acidobacteriota. The record is from RNAcentral.
GGGGCGGUAGCUCAGUUGGUAGAGCAACGGCCUUUUAAGCCGUGGGUCAUGGGUUUAAGUCCCAUCCGCCUCACCA